RNAcentral lists this ribosomal RNA (253 nucleotides) under uncultured bacterium. RNAcentral describes it as "partial 16S ribosomal RNA". It matches the Rfam family "Bacterial small subunit ribosomal RNA", at positions 524 to 776 of the family's 1533-position model. The record is from RNAcentral.
UACGAAGGGUGCAAGCGUUACUCGGAAUUACUGGGCGUAAAGCGUGCGUAGGCGGUUUGUUAAGUCUGUCGUGAAAGCCCCGGGCUCAACCUGGGAAUGGCGAUGGAUACUGGCGAGCUAGAGUACGGUAGAGGAGAGUGGAAUUCCCGGUGUAGCAGUGAAAUGCGUAGAUAUGCGGAGGAACACCGAUGGCGAAGGCAAUCCCCUGGGCCUGCACUGACGCUCAUGCACGAAAGCGUGGGGAGCAAACAGG